CAAGGUUUCCGUAGGUGAACCUGCGGAAGGAUCAUUGUCGAGACCCCGGACGACCCGCGAACUUGUUCCGCACGCCCCUCGGCGCCGCGCCCCGUGGCCCUCUCGGGGGCGGCGGGCGGCGCCGACAACGAACCCCGGCGCGGGACGCGCCAAGGAGAACCCAAACGAGAAGGCACGCCCCCGGCGCCCGUUCGCGGGCGACGCGGGGCGGCGGCCUCUUUCGCGAAUCGAAACGACUCUCGGCAACGGAUAUCUCGGCUCUCGCAUCGAUGAAGAACGUAGCGAAAUGCGAUACUUGGUGUGAAUUGCAGAAUCCCGCGAACCAUCGAGUCUUUGAACGCAAGUUGCGCCCGAAGCCGUGAGGCCGAGGGCACGUCUGCCUGGGCGUCUCGCAACGCCUCGCCCCACCCAGCCCCCGCGCGGGGGCGUCGGGGGGGGCGGACACUGGCCCCCCGUGAGCGGCAGCUCGCGGCCGGCCUAAAAGCCGAGUCGCCGGCGACGGACGGCACGACGAGUGUUGGAGCACGGCACGCGCCCCGCGUCGUCCCGCGCCCGUCGCCGAGGGCGGCCUCGCGCGGCCCCGAAGAAGCAACGACCGGGACCCCAGGUCAGGCGGGAUCACCCGCUGAAUUUAGGCAUA
RNAcentral lists this ribosomal RNA (640 nucleotides) under Eschweilera panamensis. RNAcentral's name for it is "eukaryotic LSU rRNA". The stretch from base 235 to 390 matches the Rfam family "5.8S ribosomal RNA". Lineage: Eukaryota; Viridiplantae; Streptophyta; Magnoliopsida; Ericales; Lecythidaceae. The record is from RNAcentral.